AGCACGGAAGGCGAAGA
RNAcentral lists this microRNA (17 nucleotides) under Chlamydomonas reinhardtii. Its description in RNAcentral is "cre-miR1168.2". The record is from miRBase by way of RNAcentral. Lineage: Eukaryota; Viridiplantae; Chlorophyta; Chlorophyceae; Chlamydomonadales; Chlamydomonadaceae.